This 468-nucleotide ribosomal RNA is filed under the name uncultured bacterium. Its description in RNAcentral is "partial 16S ribosomal RNA". It matches the Rfam family "Bacterial small subunit ribosomal RNA", at positions 28 to 507 of the family's 1533-position model. The record is from RNAcentral.
GACGAACGCUGGCGGUGUGCUUAACACAUGCAAGUCGAACGGUAAGGCCCUUUCGGGGGUACACGAGUGGCGAACGGGUGAGUAACACGUGAGUAACCUGCCCUCAUCUCUGGGAUAACAGUCGGAAACGGUUGCUAAUACUGGAUAUGAGCUUGCAAGGCAUCUUGUGGGUUGGAGAGAUUUUUUUUGGUUGGGGAUGGACUCGCGGCCUAUCAGCUUGUUGGUGAGGUAGUGGCUCACCAAGGCUUCGACGGGUAGCCGGCCUGAGAGGGCGACCGGCCACAUUGGGACUGAGAUACGGCCCAAACUCCUACGGGAGGCAGCAGUGGGGAAUAUUGCACAAUGGACGGAAGUCUGAUGCAGCAACGCCGCGUGCGGGAUGACGGCCUUCGGGUUGUAAACCGCUUUCAAUUGUGACGAAGCUUUUUUGUGACGGUAGCAGUAGAAGAAGCACCGGCUAACUACGUG